This 426-nucleotide ribosomal RNA is filed under the name uncultured bacterium. RNAcentral describes it as "bacterial SSU rRNA". It matches the Rfam family "Bacterial small subunit ribosomal RNA", at positions 917 to 1344 of the family's 1533-position model. The record is from RNAcentral.
GGGCCCGCACAAGCGGUGGAGCAUGUGGUUUAAUUCGAUGAUACGCGAGGAACCUUACCAGGGCUUAAAUGUAGUAUGACCGGUCUAGAAAUAGGCCUUCCCUUCGGGGCAGAUUACAAGGUGCUGCAUGGUUGUCGUCAGCUCGUGCCGUGAGGUGUUAGGUUAAGUCCUGCAACGAGCGCAACCCCUAUUCUUAGUUGCCAGCGGUUCGGCCGGGGACUCUAAGAAGACUGCCAGCGCAAGCUGAGAGGAAGGUGGGGAUGACGUCAAAUCAUCAUGCCCCUUAUGUCCAGGGCUGCACGCAUGCUACAAUGGCAAGUACAACGAGUCGCAAUACCGCGAGGUGGAGCAAAUCUCUUAAAGCUUGUCUCAGUUCGGAUAGGAGUCUGCAACUCGACUCCUUGAAGUUGGAGUCGCUAGUAAUCG